AAUAUUGGUCAAUGGACGCAAGUCUGAACCAGCUAUGCCGCGUGCAGGAUGAAGGCCUUUGGGUCGUAAACUGCUUUUAUAUGAGAAAAAUAAAUCCCCGCGGGGAUGAAUGAUGGUAUCAUAUGAAUAAGCACCGGCUAACUCCGUGCCAGCAGCCGCGGUAAGACGGAGGGUGCAAGCGUUAUCCGGAUUUACUGGGUUUAAAGAGUACGUAGGCGGCGUUAUAAGUCAGUGAUGAAAGUCAAUAGCUCAACUAUUGAAGUGUCAUUGAUACUGUAAUGCUUGAGUAUAGUCGAGGUGGGCGGAAUUUUACAUGUAGCGGUGAAAUGCGUAGAUAUGUAAAAGAACACCAAUAACGAAGGUAGCUCACUAGGCUAUUACUGACGCUGAGGUACGAAAGCGUGGGUAGCGAACAGGAUUAGAUACCCUGGUAGUCCACGCUGUA
This 445-nucleotide ribosomal RNA is filed under the name uncultured marine bacterium. RNAcentral describes it as "bacterial SSU rRNA". It matches the Rfam family "Bacterial small subunit ribosomal RNA", at positions 360 to 804 of the family's 1533-position model. The record is from RNAcentral.